UACGUAGGGUGCAAGCGUUGUCCGGAAUUAUUGGGCGUAAAGAGCUCGUAGGUGGCCUGUCGCGUCGGCUGUGAAAACUCGGGGCUCAACUCCGAGCUUGCAGUCGAUACGGGCAGGCUAGAGUUCGGCAGGGGGAGACUGGAAUUCCUGGUGUAGCGGUGAAAUGCGCAGAUAUCAGGAGGAACACCGGUGGCGAAGGCGGUUCUCGUGGGCCUUACCUGACACUGAGGAGCGAAAGCGUGGGGAGCGAACGG
RNAcentral lists this ribosomal RNA (254 nucleotides) under uncultured bacterium. Its description in RNAcentral is "partial 16S ribosomal RNA". It matches the Rfam family "Bacterial small subunit ribosomal RNA", at positions 524 to 775 of the family's 1533-position model. The record is from RNAcentral.